RNAcentral lists this ribosomal RNA (627 nucleotides) under uncultured bacterium. Its description in RNAcentral is "bacterial SSU rRNA". It matches the Rfam family "Bacterial small subunit ribosomal RNA", at positions 87 to 724 of the family's 1533-position model. The record is from RNAcentral.
GGUGAUGAGUGGCGAACGGGUGAGUAAUACAUAAGUACCUGGCCCAUACAGGGGGAUAACUGCUGGAAACGGCAGCUAAGACCGCAUACAUCGCAUGAAGAAAAGUGCAGGCACUGGUAAGGGAUGGACUUAUGGCGCAUUAGCUAGUUGGCAGGGUAAAGGCCUACCAAGGCGACGAUGCGUAGCCGACCUGAGAGGGUGACCGGCCACACUGGGACUGAGACACGGCCCAGACUCCUACGGGAGGCAGCAGUAGGGAAUUUUCGGCAAUGGGGGAAACCCUGACCGAGCAACGCCGCGUGAAGGAAGAAGUAAUUCGUUAUGUAAACUUCUGUCAUAGAGGAAGAAGGUGGAUAUAGGGAAUGAUAUCCAAGUGACGGUACUCUAUAAGAAAGCCACGGCUAACUACGUGCCAGCAGCCGCGGUAAUACGUAGGUGGCGAGCGUUAUCCGGAAUUAUUGGGCGUAAAGAGGGAGCAGGCGGCACUAAGGGUCUGUGGUGAAAGAUCGAAGCUUACUUCGGUAAGCCAUGGAAACCGUAGAGCUAGAGUGUGUGAGAGGAUCGUGGAAUUCCAUGUGUAGCGGUGAAAUGCGUAGAUAUAUGGAGGAACACCAGUGGCGAAGGCGA